UACGGGGGGGGCAAGCGUUGUUCGGAAUUACUGGACGUAAAGGGCGCGUAGGCGGUCCUGUAAGUCUUGUGUGAAAUCCCUCGGCUUAACUGGGGAACUGCACGAGAUACUGCGAGACUUGAGUUCGGGAGAGGAAAGCGGAAUUCCGGGUGUAGCGGUGAAAUGCGUAGAUAUCCGGAGGAAUACCGGUGGCGAAGGCGGCUUUCUGGACCGACACUGACGCUGAGGCGCGAAAGCUAGGGGAGCAAACGGG
This 253-nucleotide ribosomal RNA is filed under the name uncultured bacterium. RNAcentral describes it as "partial 16S ribosomal RNA". It matches the Rfam family "Bacterial small subunit ribosomal RNA", at positions 524 to 776 of the family's 1533-position model. The record is from RNAcentral.